GCCAGGCAGAGUGGCAUGUGACUGUAGUCCCAGCUACUCAGAGGCAUAGGCAGGAGGAUCACUUGAGUCCAGGAGUUCUGUGCUGUAGUGCACUAUGCCAAGCAGGUGUUCACACCAAGUUCACUAUCAAUAUGGUGACCUUUCAGGAGCAGGGAGAGGUGAAAGAGCCCAGGUUGGAGACAAAGCAGGCCAAAACUCCUGUGAUGAUCAUUAGUGGGAUUACACCUGUGAAUAACCACUGCACUCCAGCCUGGGUAACGGAGAGACCCCAUAUCCG
Colobus angolensis palliatus is the source of this 277-nucleotide unclassified non-coding RNA. It matches the Rfam family "Metazoan signal recognition particle RNA". From Rfam's summary of the family: The signal recognition particle (SRP) is a universally conserved ribonucleoprotein. The record is from Ensembl. NCBI's taxonomy places the organism in Eukaryota, Metazoa, Chordata, Mammalia, Primates, Cercopithecidae.